Non-coding RNA from Sphagnurus paluster, 115 nucleotides. The record is from the annotation of a GenBank genome assembly. Lineage: Eukaryota; Fungi; Basidiomycota; Agaricomycetes; Agaricales; Lyophyllaceae.
GGGCGUUUAGCGCAGUGGUAGCGCGCAUGCUUUGCAUCGGCACGCGGUCAACGCGUAACGACUGCUCCCAGCAGAAACUUGUAUGAGGCCCAGGGUUCAAUCCCCUGAACGUCCA